GGAAUAUAACUUGUGCGCGAGUCACUGGGACCUCGGAGAAAUCCCAGAUGCGAAGUGAAAGAGGUACGCACCYUUCGCGGGUUGCCCGGGGAGGACGGCGACGGGCUAACCGGCGCCCGCACUCACGGGGCGCCUCGGCUUUCGGCCGCASGCGCUCUCGGAGCGUACACGUUGAGACCCGAAAGAUGGUGAACUAUGCCWGGUCAGGACGAAGUCAGGGGAAACACUGAUGGAGAUCCGCAGCGAUUCUGASGUGCAAAUCGAUCGUCAGAGCUGGGUAUAGGGGAGAAAGAGAAAUCGAACGAUCUAGUAGCUGGUUCCCUCCGAAGUAUCCCUCAGGAUAUCUGGCGUCCAUUUCGACCGGAAUGAAUCUCAUCCGGUAAAGCGAAUGAUUAGAGKUCUAGGGGSUGAAACGAMCUCAACUUAUUCUCAAACUUUAAAUGGGUGAGAUCUCCGGCUUGCUUGACUCAAGCCGCGAGGUCUGGAUCAGGGGUGUCAAAGUGGGUCAUUUUUG
RNAcentral lists this ribosomal RNA (514 nucleotides) under Validiblatta australasiae (Australian cockroach). Its description in RNAcentral is "eukaryotic LSU rRNA". It matches the Rfam family "Eukaryotic large subunit ribosomal RNA", at positions 670 to 1139 of the family's 3401-position model. The record is from RNAcentral. Lineage: Eukaryota; Metazoa; Arthropoda; Insecta; Blattodea; Blattidae.